GGAUUAGAUACCCUGGUAGUCCACGCCGUAAACGUUGAACACUAGUUGUUGUGGGUAUUGACCCCCGCAGUGACGACGCUAACGCAUUAAGUGUUCCGCCUGGGGACUACGGCCGCAAGGCUAAAACUCAAAGGAAUUGACGGGGGCCCGCACAAGCGGUGGAGUAUGUGGUUUAAUUCGACGACGCGCAGAACCUUACCCGGUCUUGACAUUGAGAGAAAGCAUGGAGAAAUCCAUGCCCCUUCCUUCGGGAAGCUCGAAAACAGGUGCUGCAUGGCUGUCGUCAGCUCGUGUUG
RNAcentral lists this ribosomal RNA (296 nucleotides) under uncultured bacterium. RNAcentral's name for it is "partial 16S ribosomal RNA". It matches the Rfam family "Bacterial small subunit ribosomal RNA", at positions 775 to 1067 of the family's 1533-position model. The record is from RNAcentral.